RNAcentral lists this ribosomal RNA (782 nucleotides) under uncultured Neocallimastigales. Its description in RNAcentral is "partial large subunit ribosomal RNA". It matches the Rfam family "Eukaryotic large subunit ribosomal RNA", at positions 24 to 612 of the family's 3401-position model. Lineage: Eukaryota; Fungi; Neocallimastigomycota; Neocallimastigomycetes; Neocallimastigales. The record is from RNAcentral.
UAUCUCUGUAGAGUCUGCAUAUCAAUAAGCGGAGGAAAAGAAACUAACUAAGGAUUCCCUCAGUAACGGCGAGUGAAGCGGGAAGAGCUCAAAUUUGAAAUCUUCAAGGUUUUACCUUGACGAAUUGUAGUUUAAAGAAGUGUUUUCUGUUGAAGUUUUGGUAAAAGUUCUUUGGAAUAGGACAUCAUAGAGGGUGAGAAUCCCGUAUUUGACCAGUUAUCUUCCAGCUGUGUGAUACACUUUCAAAGAGUCGGAUUGUUUGGGAAUGCAGUCCAAAAUGGGUGGUAAAUUUCAUCUAAAGCUAAAUACUUGGCGAGAGACCGAUAGCGAACAAGUACCGUGAGGGAAAGAUGAAAAGAACUUUGAAAAGAGAGUUAAACAGUACGUGAAAUUGUCAAAAGGGAAGCGUUUGACACCAGUGUUGUUUUCCUCGAAAAUCAAUUAAAAAUGGCGGGAUUUUGUGUUGUAUUGACUUUAUCCAGCUUUCUGCACUCUUUUUCCUAUCUUUUUUAAUGCACUUUUCGUUUAACAAGUCAACAUCAAUUUCUUUUGUUGUAAAAGGGUCAUUGGAAGGUGGCUUUCUUUUCGGAGAAAGUGUUUAUAGCCUUUGGCCUUCUGCAAUCGGAGAGAUUGAGGUCUGCAGCGUAGAUCCUUCGGGGUUAGAUACAUUUGUGCUAAGUUAUAGCCUUUCAUAGACAACUUGUUGACUAUGAUCAGUCAUGUAGCUUACUCGCUUAUGCUAUUUUACCUACGCUUAGGAUGUUGAGUCAUCACACAUCUCU